UCCCGCAUAGCUCAAUUGGCAGAGCACGGAGCUGUUAACUCCGGGGUUCUUGGUUCGAGUCCAAGUGUGGGAGC
Molecule: transfer RNA, 74 nt
Filed under: Rhodococcus phage Grayson
Lineage: Duplodnaviria; Heunggongvirae; Uroviricota; Caudoviricetes
Also listed under: 1 other name
Description: tRNA-Asn
Rfam family: tRNA
About the family: Transfer RNA (tRNA) molecules are approximately 80 nucleotides in length. Their secondary structure includes four short double-helical elements and three loops (D, anti-codon, and T loops). Further hydrogen bonds mediate the characteristic L-shaped molecular structure. tRNAs have two regions of fundamental functional importance: the anti-codon, which is responsible for specific mRNA codon recognition, and the 3' end, to which the tRNAs corresponding amino acid is attached (by aminoacyl-tRNA synthetases). tRNAs cope with the degeneracy of the genetic code in two manners: having more than one tRNA (with a specific anti-codon) for a particular amino acid; and 'wobble' base-pairing, i.e. permitting non-standard base-pairing at the 3rd anti-codon position.
Source: RNAcentral